CUAUAUUCAUUCUCCUUCAUUCGAUCUUAAUUUCUCAAAAAGCCAUCAUGGGUGUUUUGACUUUUGAAAAGGAAAUCAAAACUGCAGUUCCACAAGCCACAAUGUUCAAGUCUUUGUCCUUGAAUCCCACACCUUUAUCCCUAAGAUUGUGCCUAACGUUAGCAUAGAGAUCCUUGNNNNNNNNNNNNNNNNNNNNNNNNNNNAGCAUCAAAAAACUACAUUUACCGAUGGUUAGUCUUAAUUGUUAAUAAUUCAUAUACUAUUGUUAAUCAUCAAUCAUAUAUUGUUUUUACAGAUAAAUCAUGUAACCUCAUAGUGAUGGGGAGAAUAACUUCAGUGUCGUUAAGUAAAUUAUUUAUUGUUUUAUAUUUGCAGGUGGUGAUGCCAAGUAUAUCAAAACCAAAGUUGAAGCAACAGACAAAGACAAUUUCACACAUAACUAUACUAUCAUUGGAGGCGAUCCAUGGAGUGAUAACAUAGAGAAGAUUUCUUAUGAGAUAAAAAUAGUGGCUUCUCCUGAUGGAGGAUCCAUUUGCAAGAGCAGCAGCAAGUACUAUCCAAAAGAGGGUUGUGAGCUCGAUGAAGACAAAAUCAAAGCUGGAGCAGAGAAAGCCUUUGGCAUGUUCAAGACUAUUGAAGCUCAUCUCUUGGCAAAUCCUGAUGCUUGCAACUAAAAAGUUAUUGUUUUCUCCCAAAACAGUAAAAACUUCUGUGUUUGAUUUUCAUGGAGUGCUAUGCUUUGUUUUUUUUUUUUUUCAUGAUUUUCUUUUUAUUUCACUUUUGAAUGGAACAGUUAAACCACUGUUGGCGUGAUUACUAAGAGUAUGUAAUAAAAGAGUUUUGAAUAAACGUCGUGUGGACGUUCUCUAUCAAUCCGACUAAAGAAUACGAGAUCCUGAUAUCAUAUGCUCUUCUGUAUGAUCAGUUACGGCUUCUUUAUGCCACUCUCUGUACUGUCAGCUUGUCUACUCUCAUGUAUUUAAAUUGCUUCUAUUAAUAAAAUAUACUUUUUUUUUCUAUAAUAAUUCUUUUUAGAAAUGAGGAUGCAUUUUCUUACAUUAUCUCUUUCCUUUUUACAAAUCCUAUGACCAGAAAGAUUAUAAAAACUAUUUUCAAUCUUUUUAUGAUUUUGACCAAUUCUUUUUUCAAUUUAACAAUUUGCGUCACAAACUCAUACUGUCAUUUAAAAUUACUAGCAAUAUGACUAUAAUUACCGGUCGUCAAAUUAAGAUAUUGGUUAUUGAAAUUCAAAAAAGAUAGAAGUUCAUAAUGUACGUUUAAUGUCAAUGUUAAAAUUUAUUGUCCCAUAUUAGAAAUAAAUCUUGUAGGACCGUCAGGCAAGGAAACUAAGGAAGCCGGAAGUUAAAAGAAUUCGAGAUCUCGGAGUCGGGUCGAGGAACACAAAGAGUUAAUGGUAUUUCAUAACUAAUCGAUUACCCGGAAAGAAGAAGGGCCGGUGGUGGACAUUCGAGAAAGUCGGGCCGAUCAGGUGUCUUAACUGCAUCUUUCCAUUUUUGAUUUGCAACGGCCAUCAAGGACGAAGUAUGAUAAAUAAUAAAUAAGAAUCGUAUUAUAGGAGCAAUUCGUUUGAAAUCUAUAGCAAUCUUAAUUUUAAUUGAGAGGGAACAAAAGACACAUUAUUUGUAACUUUAUUUCUCAGAAGUAGUCAUAGAAUUCUCUAAUUUCCAUUCUCCAAUUUUUCACUUUUUGCUAAAUACAAAUUUACAAAAAGGCUUGUCAUAUUUCAGAAGUGAUGUGCCCGAAACUUACGGUAAACUUAAUUCUAAUUGAAAAGGGAAAAGAUGCUUUAAGAAAAGUGUAACUUUCAGUGUUUCAAGUCUUUUAGAUUGUAAUUUUUCUAAUAAUAACUGAGUUAUCAGAAUGUACAUCUGUCUAUACACUAUGUUCUUACAGUGGUUAAUAAUAUAAAAGAACUUUAGAAGACCUGGAAUAUAAUUGAAGUAUAAGUAUAGUUACAGUUUUGAGUUUGUAAUUAGAGAAUGAAAGAGAUGAAUAAGAGGGAUAGUAAUAUAGUUAUAAAGUUCUAAUCUGUUUAAUUUAAUUAUUUAAUUAGAAUAAAUAAAGACUGUUAUUGGAGGCAAUCCUGAAGUGAUAAUUUGGAGAAAAUGUCUUGUAACAUAAAAAUAAUGAAUUCUCCUGUUGCAAAAGGAGCAGUAAAUACUAUCCAAAUGAGGGCUGUGAGGAUGCAUUUUCUUACACUGUCUCUUUCCUUUCUUGACUUUGACCAAUUCUUUUUUUUUUUUUUUUCAUUUAACAAUUGGUAUCGCAAACUCAUAAUGUCAUAAAAUGGAAAAUAGUAGCAAAGCAAUUGCUAUUUAUGAUUAUAAUUACUGAACGUCAAAAUUAAAAAAAUAUUGGUUAAUGUCGCAUAAUUAGAAAAACAAAAAGCUUGUCGUAUUCUAGAAACAAUUGGUUUGAAAUUUACAGCAAUCUUAAUUUUAAUUGAGAGGGGACAAAAACACAUUAUUUGUUAUUUUAUUAACUGAUUUUUUUUUUAGAAAUCAUAAUUCGAUAAUUGUAACUUUAUUUCUCAGAAGAUAUAAAAUUCUCUAUUUUUCUAUUCUUGAAUUUUACUAUCUGCCAAAUACAAAUUCACAAAAGGCUUGUCAUAUUCUUAUAAGUGACGUGGCAGAAAUUCAUAGUAAUUUUAAUUGUAAUUGAAAGGGGGAAAAGGUGCUUUAUACGUUUCAAGUCUUCUAUAUUAUAAUUUUGCAACAAUAACUAAGUUAUAAGAAUGUAUAUCUGGCUUCCUAUUCACAAUGGUUAAUAAUAUAACACAACUUCAACUUCAACUUCAACUCUCAAAUAAAAUUAUUUAAUACUAAUAAAUAUAUAUUAAUUUGAUAUAUUAUUAAAAAAUAUCAGAUAAAUAUUUGCUUAAAAUUUUUUAAGUAUUAUGUCUAGAUGCAGAUUUGGUAAAUAAGCAGAACUGAAUAUACAUGUGUCAAUUAUUGGUUUGUACAAAAUAUAAUUAUGAAAUUUUACCUUUCAAAUUAUUAUUAUUAUUAUUAUUAUUUAUCAUAUUCUUUUAAAAAAUUUGUAAGAGAAUGAUACGUUGAGAUAUCUUGCAUUACAAGAUAAGCUUUAGAAUUUAGAAAAUAUAAUUUAAUUUUUAAUAUAAAAAAAAUCUCAAAAACAUAAUAUAUAUAUAUAUAUAUCUGGAUGAGCACAAAAGUCAUGGUAUUAACGUAAAAAAUCCGAAAAAUGCGGUCCCUUAACAACGGAGUGAGAAGAGGUUUGAUGACGGCAACAGGUUUUAAAAGUCAACUAUUCUCGCAAAGAAUCUUCAACAGUCUCCUCCAAAAUAAGCAGCCCGGAUUGACCGUCAGGAAAAACAUUUCAUAUUAAUUAGAAUUUUUUAUAUUAUUUUCUGGGCCCACAUUGCCUGAGCUCCGUCGCUCUCCUUGUACAAUCUUAUCUAGGUUUUUUCUUUUUUCUUUCUCUUUUUGUCAUGCAUGUAUGGAAUUUAAAGCAAAAACCAGAUAGGAUCCUAAAUGAAUAAUUGGAAAAUGCUAUUAACUUUUAUAGCAGAGUAACUCCAUAAGGAAAAGUCGAUAUCCAUAUAUAUCUAAUAAGACCUUUCAUUUCCAUUGACGGCAAGCCGGCAAUUAUAUAUUUUUCCGAAUUCUGUCGGCACUAUUCUAUUCAUUUCUACAGGCAAUUAUUUCCUAAAAUACUGGUUUAGAAAACAUAACUUUUCAGAAUAUCUAGAAGGUAAUGGAAUCAUAUUAAUACAUAUUACCCCACCAGCUUUUUAUUUAAUUCAUUCUCAAGCUUGCUUUCUAUGACUUUUCAGCAAAUUCGUUUGCUUCUAUAAGUACUUCCCUAUGCUCUUGCAUUUUGCCACACCUCACUUCGAUAUACAUUCUACAAAUCCUUAAAUCUUCUUCCUCGUUCAUUCCCUUCACCUCAUCUUUUACCAGAAGCCAUCAUGGGUGUUUUGACUUUUGAGAAGGAAAUUACAACUUCAAUCCCACAAGCCAAAAUGUUCAAGGCCUUUAUUCUUGAAUCUGACACUCUUAUCCCUAAGGUUUUGCCUCAGGUUAGUAUAGAGUUCCUUGAAGGAAAUGGCGGACCCGGAACCAUCAAGAAAACUUCCUUUGCUGAAGGUUAGUUUUAAUUGUUCUAAGGACAUAUAU
RNAcentral lists this long non-coding RNA (4160 nucleotides) under Ricinus communis (castor bean). RNAcentral's name for it is "long non-coding RNA (RCOM_LNC000826)". The record is from RNAcentral. Lineage: Eukaryota; Viridiplantae; Streptophyta; Magnoliopsida; Malpighiales; Euphorbiaceae.